UCAAAUUCCGAGUGGGACUCUGUCUCAGUCCAUUUACUUCUUUUGCAGAAUACCCGAGAGUGAGUAAUUUAGAAGGGACAGAUUUAUUUCUUGCAGUUCUAGAAGAAAGGCACUUCAGCAUCAUCAUGCCGGCAUCUGAUGAGGGGUUUCUUACUGUGUGACUGCAGAAGGUAUCACAUGGUGAGAAGCAAGCAGUGUUCCGGAUCUGCGUGUCAUUGCUGGGCAGGAAAUUUACAGACUGAUAUCUACAGACUCUUCUCUGUGGAGUCAUCUCAGCGGGUUUGGCCAUGAAAAUAUACUGCCAAAUGUCACAUUUAGAGGUUGCCACCUGAUGCAGUUUGGAACAGGAGCUCUACAAAAUCUCUUCAGGCAAAGACUAAGACAUACUACUUCUUUUGCACGCUCUGUGGUAAAACAUAACAGCCUUCCUUGGACUCAGACCCACCGCCAGGCAUAUAGUGGGCCAGUGAAAGCCGCACAACAAACAGAGCCAGAAUAUGUAGGUUUUAUUUAAAGGGCCCAGAGCUAUCCAUUUAAGAGGAACUUCUGUCACCCUCAUCGGGCUUGGAUCCCUGUGUUGGAGAACACGAAGGGACUCUUGGCUACAACAGUGAAUCAUCAUAUGCGAAUGCAACCAACCCAGUCUUUUAAAUCCCAAGCACUAGGAAGUGCGUCAGUGUUGGAAACUUGCAGCUUGCUUAUUCCAGUGAAAGAGCCAACAGCUUGGACGAAGCACCCCUCUCAAGGCUACAUUACCUCGCUCCUCGCCCCCAGACAACCCUCCCAGGGCCAGCAAGUGCUGCGAUACUUCCGCUGGAAUUUGCAUGUUUGGAGGAAAUGAGUUAAAUAAAGUGGUGUGCUA
RNAcentral lists this long non-coding RNA (862 nucleotides) under Chinchilla lanigera (long-tailed chinchilla). RNAcentral describes it as "lncRNA (ENSCLAG00000024265.1)". Lineage: Eukaryota; Metazoa; Chordata; Mammalia; Rodentia; Chinchillidae. The record is from RNAcentral.